RNAcentral lists this ribosomal RNA (467 nucleotides) under uncultured bacterium. Its description in RNAcentral is "partial 16S ribosomal RNA". It matches the Rfam family "Bacterial small subunit ribosomal RNA", at positions 29 to 507 of the family's 1533-position model. The record is from RNAcentral.
ACGAACGCUGGCGGCGUGCUUAACCCAUGCAAGUCGAACGGAAAGGCCCUGCUUUUGUGGGGUGCUCGAGUGGCGAACGGGUGAGUAACACGUGAGUAACCUGCCCUUGACUUUGGGAUGACUUCAGGAAACUGGGGCUAAUACCGGAUAGGAGCUCCUGCUGCAUGGUGGGGGUUGGAAAGUUUCGGCGGUUGGGGAUGGACUCGCGGCUUAUCAGCUUGUUGGUGGGGUAGUGGCUUACCAAGGCUUUGACGGGUAGCCGGCCUGAGAGGGUGACCGGCCACAUUGGGACUGAGAUACGGCCCAGACUCCUACGGGAGGCAGCAGUGGGGAAUAUUGCACAAUGGGCGGAAGCCUGAUGCAGCAACGCCGCGUGCGGGAUGACGGCCUUCGGGUUGUAAACCGCUUUCGCCUGUGACGAAGCGUGAGUGACGGUAAUGGGUAAAGAAGCACCGGCUAACUACGUG